UCCGACACACUAUCGUUAACUGAAUACAUAGGUUAACGAGGCGAACCGGGGGAACUGAAACAUCUAAGUACCCCGAGGAAAAGAAAUCAACCGAGAUUCCCCCAGUAGCGGCGAGCGAACGGGGAGCAGCCCAGAGUAUGAAUCAGCUUGUGUGUUAGUGGAAGCGUCUGGAAAGUCGCACGGUACAGGGUGACAGUCCCGUACACGAAAGCACACAGGUUGUGAACUCGAAGAGUAGGGCGGGACACGUGGUAUCCUGUCUGAAUAUGGGGGGACCAUCCUCCAAGGCUAAAUACUCCUGACUGACCGAUAGUGAACCAGUACCGUGAGGGAAAGGCGAAAAGAACCCCGGCGAGGGGAGUGAAAUAGAACCUGAAACCGUGUACGUACAAGCAGUGGGAGCACCUUCGUGGUGUGACUGCGUACCUUUUGUAUAAUGGGUCAGCGACUUAUAUUCUGUAGCAAGGUUAACCGUAUAGGGGAGCCGAAGGGAAACCGAGUCUUAACUGGGCGUUAAGUUGCAGGGUAUAGACCCGAAACCCGGUGAUCUAGCCAUGGGCAGGUUGAAGGUUGGGUAACACUAACUGGAGGACCGAACCGACUAAUGUUGAAAAAUUAGCGGAUGACUUGUGGCUGGGGGUGAAAGGCCAAUCAAACCGGGAGAUAGCUGGUUCUCCCCGAAAGCUAUUUAGGUAGCGCCUCGUGAACUCAUCUUCGGGGGUAGAGCACUGUUUCGGCUAGGGGGCCAUCCCGGCUUACCAACCCGAUGCAAACUACGAAUACCGAAGAAUGUUAUCACGGGAGACACACGGCGGGUGCUAACGUCCGUCGUGAAGAGGGAAACAACCCAGACCGCCAGCUAAGGUCCCAAAGUCAUGGUUAAGUGGGAAACGAUGUGGGAAGGCACAGACAGCCAGGAUGUUGGCUUAGAAGCAGCCAUCAUUUAAAGAAAGCGUAAUAGCUCACUGGUCGAGUCGGCCUGCGCGGAAGAUGUAACGGGGCUAAACCAUG
This 1011-nucleotide ribosomal RNA is filed under the name Enterobacter roggenkampii. RNAcentral describes it as "partial 23S ribosomal RNA". It matches the Rfam family "Bacterial large subunit ribosomal RNA", at positions 139 to 1191 of the family's 2925-position model. Lineage: Bacteria; Pseudomonadati; Pseudomonadota; Gammaproteobacteria; Enterobacterales; Enterobacteriaceae. The record is from RNAcentral.